AACGAACGCUGGCGGCAGGCUUAACACAUGCAAGUCGAGCGAAGACUUCGGUCUUAGCGGCGGACGGGUGAGUAACGCGUGGGAACGUGCCCUUCUCUACGGAACAGUUGGAAACGACUGCUAAUACCGUAUACGCCCUUUUGGGGAAAGAUUUAUUGCUGAUAGAUUAGCCCGCGUUAGAUUAGCUAGUUGGUGGGGUAAAGGCCUACCAAGGCGACGAUCUAUAGCUGGUCUGAGAGGAUGAUCAGCCACACUGGGACUGAGACACGGCCCAGACUCCUACGGGAGGCAGCAGUGGGGAAUAUUGGACAAUGGGCGCAAGCCUGAUCCAGCCAUGCCGCGUGUGUGAUGAAGGCCUUAGGGUUGUAAAGCACUUUCAACGGUGAAGAUAAUGACGGUAACCGUAGAAGAAGCCCCGGCUAACUUCGUGCCAGCCGCCGCGGUAAUAC
Molecule: ribosomal RNA, 449 nt
Filed under: uncultured bacterium
Lineage: Bacteria
Description: bacterial SSU rRNA
Rfam family: Bacterial small subunit ribosomal RNA
Source: RNAcentral